UUGGAGGGCAAGUCUGGUGCCAGCAGCCGCGGUAAUUCCAGCUCCAAUAGCGUAUAUUAAAGUUGUUGCAGUUAAAAAGCUCGUAGUUGAAUUUCGGGAUUGACACAUCGGUCGUGCCUUAAGGGGUAUGAACUGGUGUAGUCAAUUUCUCACCUUCUGGAGAGCCGCGAUGCCCUUAAUUGGGUGUCACGGGGAACCAGGACCUUUACUUUGAAAAAAUUAGAGUGUUUAAAGCAGGCAUUUUGCUUGGAUACAUUAGCAUGGAAUAAUAAAAUAGGACGGCAUGAUUCUAUUUUGUUGGUUUCUAAGAUCACCGUAAUGAUUAAUAGGGAUAGUUGGGGGCAUUAGUAUUCAAUUGUCAGAGGUGAAAUUCUUGGAUUUAUUGAAGACUAACUACUGCGAAAGCAUUUGCCAAGGAUGUUUUCAUUAAUCAAGAACGAAAGUUAGGGGAUCGAAGACGAUCAGAUACCGUCGUAGUCUUAACCAUAAACUAUGCCGACUAGGAAUCAGACGAUGUUAAUUUUUUAAUGACUCGUUUGCGCGCCUUACGGGAAAC
This 556-nucleotide ribosomal RNA is filed under the name Entrophospora etunicata. RNAcentral's name for it is "SSU rRNA". It matches the Rfam family "Eukaryotic small subunit ribosomal RNA", at positions 548 to 1098 of the family's 1831-position model. Lineage: Eukaryota; Fungi; Glomeromycota; Glomeromycetes; Entrophosporales; Entrophosporaceae. The record is from RNAcentral.